UGGAGUAUUGACGUCACAUCUAAGGUGAGGGCACUUUAUAUAGAUACAUUUGGAAUCACUUCAGUAUGGAAAGGAAAUAUUCCACAAACGGUUCCAUGAUUCAGGGUUACACAUGCUGGUAACGGUACUUAUGUUAUGGCUUGCAAGUCAAAGCUUUUGUACUGUAUUUACAUUAUUUCAGUGGGAUCCCACACAUUAUAAAGUGCUGUUUGGUAUUGUGAAUGAACACCAUCACUGGUUCCUGGUUGUAAGUGUUGCUUUUUCAGCAACUGAGAGCACAUAUAGACAUGUUACAUAUAUAGUAUACCAUCCAGUAAAAGAUCCAGUGGUUGUUUUAAGUUUAUGUUCAGCUCUGAAAAUCCUUCAACUUACACCUUUAUGCCAAAAUAGCUAAAUGUGAGAAGAUGUCAUAUAGUAGAGUUUUUUAUUUUUAUUUUUGAAGACCAUACAGGCAAUAUAGCCAUCUGGAAAGAGGACACUCCUGUUGAAUUCACAAAGACAAACUGCUGCCAAGCUGAAAAGGUGCCAGGAACAAGGUGAGGAACGGCAGGAGAGAAUCUGAGAGGACGGAGCACAAACAAGUCAACACGCUGGGUAAGAAAACAAAUGUCUACCUCGAUGGACACACAGCAGCGUUAGUGUAAUUCAAUUCGGUCAAUUUGUAGUUUAAUUUGUAUUUGUGAAUUUUAUCAUUUAAUAAUUCUGUUGAGUAUUUGUCCAUUUUAUCUUAUCGAGCUAUUUUUAUUUACCUUUUUUUUUUUUAAAUACUUCCUGUGGACAUGAUCUUGCUGCACCUCGCCUCUACUGUACCUCCUGAGGGGCCAGAUGUGCAGGACAGACCAGAAGGCAAUUCAUGUGUAUUAUCUUGGAUGAUACCCAGACUCGUCUUCAGUCUGCCUUUGAUGCUUUCCAAUUAUCUCCUCUUAAUCACAGACUAGCUUUAAAUGCAGAAGAGACCAAGUACAUGGCGUUCUCCUCUUCCACCAGUGUCUCUAUCCUGCCGUUACAACUUUAGAUGGCAUGUAUAUUACUCUUGCUGAGUCAUACAAAUACUUAGGAAUUUGGCUUGACAGCAGACUAUCGUUCAAGAUUCAAAAAGAUUUAAAAAUCAAACUAGGCUUCUUGUAUAGAAUCAAAGAAUGUAUGUCUUCUAACUGUUAGACUAUUGUGCAGUCAACCUUCAUGUCUGUCCUUGACUAUGGAAAUAUUCUGUAUUGUCACGUUGCCCCAUCUGCACUUCAGCAGUUAAACCUUGUGUAUUAUAGUGCAUUAUGCUUUAUCGCAAAUGACAAAUUUUGUAUUCAUUAUUGUUCUCUGUAUCACAAGGUUGCUUGGACUUUCUUAUGGUAAAUGGUAAAUGGACUACAUUUAUACAGAGCCUAUUUAGUCAGUUCAAUUCAAUUCAUUUCAUUUCAAUUCAGUUCAAUUCAAUUCAAUAAGCUUUAUUAGCAUGACUGUCAGAUUAAGAAUACUGCUAAAGCGUCAAGGAUAAUACGGGGAUAAUAGGAUAAGCUUAUCAUUAAAUAAAAUAAAAUCAAUGAAUAAUUAAAAAGAACACGAAAAUGUGUGGGGGCAUGUGUGUAUGCAUGCUUCUUUGUGUGUGUUUGUGAAAGAUUGUUAGAUGAAUGAAGAUUGGGCCAAUCUAACUUUAUAAGUAGUCAUUAGACCACUGUGGUUGCAUGUGUGUGUGUGUGUGUGUGUGUGUGUGUGUGUCUGUUUCAGCGUCUCUGUCCUGAUGCCGUCAGCUCCACCUCCUCCAACCACUCAAAGCGCUU
Thunnus maccoyii (southern bluefin tuna) is the source of this 1775-nucleotide long non-coding RNA. RefSeq lists it as uncharacterized. Lineage: Eukaryota; Metazoa; Chordata; Actinopteri; Scombriformes; Scombridae. The transcript has 3 exons. The record is from RefSeq and is a predicted model, not a curated record.